This 862-nucleotide ribosomal RNA is filed under the name Salmonella enterica. RNAcentral describes it as "partial 23S ribosomal RNA". It matches the Rfam family "Bacterial large subunit ribosomal RNA", at positions 428 to 1190 of the family's 2925-position model. The record is from RNAcentral. Lineage: Bacteria; Pseudomonadati; Pseudomonadota; Gammaproteobacteria; Enterobacterales; Enterobacteriaceae.
GGUAUCCUGUCUGAAUAUGGGGGGACCAUCCUCCAAGGCUAAAUACUCCUGACUGACCGAUAGUGAACCAGUACCGUGAGGGAAAGGCGAAAAGAACCCCGGCGAGGGGAGUGAAACAGAACCUGAAACCGUGUACGUACAAGCAGUGGGAGCCCCACCACUAAGCCAGUGGUGAACUCCACAUACGCAUCCUUUGCUGAGGAUACGGUUAACGGAGCGAAAGCGACGUUCAACCGCAAAAGAAGCAGAGGGGGCUUAGUGGUGGGGUGACUGCGUACCUUUUGUAUAAUGGGUCAGCGACUUAUAUUCUGUAGCAAGGUUAACCGCAUAGGGGAGCCGGAGGGAAACCGAGUCUUAAUUGGGCGUUAAGUUGCAGGGUAUAGACCCGAAACCCGGUGAUCUAGCCAUGGGCAGGUUGAAGGUUGGGUAACACUAACUGGAGGACCGAACCGACUAAUGUUGAAAAAUUAGCGGAUGACCUGUGGCUGGGGGUGAAAGGCCAAUCAAACCGGGAGAUAGCUGGUUCUCCCCGAAAGCUAUUUAGGUAGCGCCUCGUGAAUUCAUCUCCGGGGGUAGAGCACUGUUUCGGCCAGGGGGCCAUCCCGGCUUACCAAUCCGAUGCAAACUGCGAAUACCGGAGAAUGUUAUCACGGGAGACACACGGCGGGUGCUAACGUCCGUCGUGAAGAGGGAAACAACCCAGACCGCCAGCUAAGGUCCCAAAGUCAUGGUUAAGUGGGAAACGAUGUGGGAAGGCCCAGACAGCCAGGAUGUUGGCUUAGAAGCAGCCAUCAUUUAAAGAAAGCGUAAUAGCUCACUGGUCGAGUCGGCCUGCGCGGAAGAUGUAACGGGGCUAAACCAU